Molecule: long non-coding RNA, 2015 nt
Organism: Drosophila mojavensis
Lineage: Eukaryota; Metazoa; Arthropoda; Insecta; Diptera; Drosophilidae
Exons: 3
Source: RefSeq, a predicted model, not a curated record
AGAAAGUAAAUUCAAUAGUAUAUCUACUCUUGCUGUGAUUCAACAAACACUUCACAUUAACUUUCAGAAAUUCAAAAUGUGCACACAUCAAACAAUAUCUCUCCCAAAUUUUAUUUAAAAUUGAAAAGUUUUUACUUUUGCAUUCAAGUCUUGAAUUGCUUCUUUUAAUGGUAAUCGAUUGCGACACAGAAUUUAUAUUAAACUACUUGUCAACGGCUUGAUGUCACUAUCAGUUAAGUAUGGUUGUCUUAUCGGCAUUCCAAGUGGAUAACCAGUUGUGCUCGUGUCAAAGUUAACAAGCCGCUGACAACGCCUCGAUGGUAAUAAAAGCAAUGCAGCCGGCAUUUCACAGAGUGCCACACUGAUAUCUUCCGCUGUCAAAUUUAACUAGCAGUUAAAAAGAGAUUACUAAAUACUUAAAUCGCGACACGCUGCCAUGUGGAGCACUGUGCGAGGAGGCCACGCAACGGCAUUUGCGGACUUGCUACAUGCAAAUUGUGGCCAAGCGCGAUGUGUCAACAACUCUCGGCGAUCGCAUUCAAAUUUGGUGUUCCGUCGAAUCCUGCUAACCCUGCCCCCGUACCGCUGUUCACCCCAGGGCAAUGCACGCGCCAAGGCUUUUCCUUGCAUCGAACCGCUAAUCGCCUGAAUGGGGCAUGGAAAUUGAAAUUGGAAAUUGGAGCUACAGUAUGUAUAUGUAUGUAGACUAUGCUAUAUGUGCAUCUGUGUGUGAAUAGAUGGAAAUGAUACGCACGCCAGACGCAGGUGACCGACUUCCCAAAUGCAACGUGAUGUGAGUGAGCUCCACUAAAGGCGAUUUCUGUGCAUUGUCUUCACUGAGGGUGGAGGCGUGCCCGAUGUGAAGCCGUUGAUAUUGAGCACGUAGCCCAAAAAUGGAUGCCAUGAAAUGGCUCUUAAUGCUCACUAAAUAAAUACUUGGCAUGCAUGGAUAAUAUUGAUAUUAAUAUUAAGCGACAACGGAAGAAAAUUGCACAGAACCGAAAGAUAUUCGCUUGGAUUCCAUGUAAGUUGUUCCGACUCGAACGAACUCGUUGCGGCUUCCGCUUAGCUCCCUUUACGCUUUGUUUCAACUCUGCGGUUGAGCCCGAUCAAUCUUAAUGGCCUGGCCUCACACAAUGGCCCGGAAUAUGGGUAGAUGCGUAUAAAUAUUUACGACCCUUAAUUGGUAAAGGCUUCGACGUUUGGGGCAACAGAGAGCGAGAUUUUAGAUACCAGCUGAGUGCAUCGUUGGAAAUUUUGCAAAUGGCAAAUGGCAAAUGGCAAGUGGCAUGUGGCAGCUGGCAGCAGCAAAACACCUAACAAAACUGGCCAGAACGACGAAGACUAGGUCUAGCUGAAUUGAUAGAAAGACGUCAGCACUGAGGGGCACUCGAGUCCAAGUCCAACGGCAACAACAAAGAAACAAGAAAUCUAUCGGGUAAUGGAAUCGAAAUGGCAUCCCAUACAUCUUCGAGCUACACAAUGAGAGUGCGACAGAGAGAUGGAGUGGAGAGAGGAGAGCCAGCGUGGUCUUCAUUAAAAGUCAAUCAAAUAAAAUAAACUCAUUGACUUUCUAUAGAGAAUCCUAAUUGGGCAACAAAUAACAACAACAGCAACAACAAUGGCUAGAGAAGAAACUGAAAACAAAAACAAAAAAUUAAUUCAAUCAACUCGAAGAGAAAAGAAAAUCUACACUAAAAUGAAGCAGACAAUGGACGAAUCCAAAAGCAUAUUGUCAAUAAUAUUGAGUGACGCAUGCCAAAUGCUUUCAAUAGAAGAGUCCAUAAAAAUUAAUCAAUUUACAUAUAUUUUCAGUCUGUUAACAUGAACAGCGAAACGCUCUCCAAAGAAUUUUUACUACCCUCGCGGCAUUUCUAAGCAGCUGCCAAUAAAAACGAUGACGAUCCAACUGGAGAGUUAGAACAGGUGAUUAGUUCGUAAAUUAGUUAAACACGGCUGCAUUGCAGGAAAAGUUGCUCUAAAUGAAAAUAAAUUGAAGGAGCUAUUACUAUUAA